Molecule: RNA transcript, 2232 nt
Organism: Panicum virgatum (switchgrass)
Lineage: Eukaryota; Viridiplantae; Streptophyta; Magnoliopsida; Poales; Poaceae
Gene name: putative FBD-associated F-box protein At5g50270
Exons: 5
Source: RefSeq, a predicted model, not a curated record
UUGCUGAUGGCCCACCCCUGGCUUGGUGCGGCUACCACUGUCCAACACCAAGCGCCAAGCUGCUCGCUCAGCCGUACCCGCGAACUGGCCGCCUGGCCGGCCGCUAUGGGCUCCACUUCGUCGACGGCGCUGGGUUGGCCGCCGGCAACCGCAGAUGACUGCAUCCCACCAAAGAAGAGGAAGACUUGGUGCAGUGUCCAGCAACCUGUGCAGAAUCAUGACAGGAUCAGCACACUACCAGAUGACAUUUUGAUCAAAAUUCUUUCGCUAAUGACAGUAAAGGAGGCUGCAGUUACUGCUUGUCUGUCCACCAGAUGGAGACACCUCUGGAAAAACGUUGACCGUCUCAUCCUUGACGUGCAUACUUUUGGAAUGCAAAUGCCAGAAAAUACAAAUAAUAACGAAAAUCCUGAUUUCUGGAAUCAAGAAGCUACAAAGUUUGUGACUAAAGUAAAUGAAGUUUUGCGCCAUCAUAAUGGUAAUGGAAUCAAGAAAGUCGAAGUCAACUUCCCAUUAUCCUCGUCCCAUGCUUCGGACCUUGAUCGCUGGGUUGCAUUCACAGCUGCAUCUGGUUCAAGAACACUUAACCUUAUCCUUUCUGGCCAUCAUGGCAUUAUUGCCACACCAGAUGCAGAGCGAUACAGCUUCCCUUUGAAGCAUUUUGUUGAUUUGAGAGGUUGCCAAUUGCGCAUAUUGCUUCUAUCCAUGUGCAGUUUAGAAUCAGUGUCUGCAAAACUCAGUGGCUUUUCUUAUCUACAUUGCCUUUCACUUCACCGUGUAUCAGUGGUUGAUUCAGUUGUUCUGAAUAUUAUGUCCAGUUGUCGUGCUCUCCACCACUUUAGCCUGCAAAGAUGCCAUCAGUUGAUUACUAUGAGAACCUCUCAUGCAGAAUUGGUGUAUCUGGAAGUUCGUAAUUGUAAGAGCUUAAUUAGUAUUAGCAUUCAUGCUGAAAGGCUGGAGUGUUUCUCAUACAAGGGUCAUAAGGUAGAUAUUGAGUAUGAAUGUGCACCAAUUCUUCACAGACUUCAUGUUUUUUUUGUGAAGAAUAAUGAAUGCCCUUUAGACUUCUUGGGUGCUCUCCAUAAGCUCAGAUCACUGACCUUACAGUUUCCCACAUGUUUACAGGUAUCUCGUGUACUGCAACACAGUAAAAUAUUUGCUGGUUUGAAGAAGAUCGUGCUGUGUCUCUUGACAUCUUGGAAAACGAGCAUCUGUUCGGUGGCUUAUCUCCUUAAAGCUGCCCCCCUAGUUGAAAUACUUGUUCUUCAGGUAUAUAAGUUGCGCUUGCUAAUUGACUGGGUCAAAACUGCCAGAUUUGGAGAGAGAAAAAUUCUGAGUCCCAUGAUGGUUUAUAUUAUCUGGUUUUUUUUUUGGGGGGGGGGGGGGGGGCAAAUAUAAUUCCACCUUUAAACAGCAUAUCUUUCGUACAAAAUUUGGUGGUCUCUAAGAGUAUGGGGAAAGAGCAGAUCCAGGCCCUGAAAAUGUUCGUAUUCUGCUAGUUUCAUCGUUUAUGGGAAUCUGCAGCCACCGAGGAAGCAGAAAGUUAUAUGGCCCAAGAAAUGUACCUUUAGAAGGCUCCGCAGUAUCUAUAUCGGAGGGUUUAGCGGGGAACCGGAAUUGAUGGGUCUCAAGUCCUUUCUGCUAAAGAGGUCACCAAUGCUGAAGAAACUGGUUAUUGACACACAUCCACACAAGUACAAAGGCUUCAGCAAAUGGAAGAGGGAGAAGUCUGAAGAUGCCACGAGGUGCAAUUAUGCGAGGGGGGUGGCUUUGACACACUUGCCCCAUGAGAUUCCAUCUACCGUGAAGUUUAGAGUUAUAUGACUUGCACGAUUACAGACAAGAAUGUCAUGGACAAGUCCUUGUCAUAAAUAUUUUGCUAUGACUCGGGUACUGGUGGCAACUGAAUGUAGUGAAGAGAUGCAGAUGCAAAGCAGUAAACUGAACUCUAUAGUUUGGAAUGCCGUAGCAGGCUGUGCCGAUGGCUUUAAGCCUUUAACGGGGUCCCUUGCCUUUUGUGGUGUGUUGGCUAUAUCGUGUGGAUGAGUUAGUCUGGAGGUGGACUUUGCUGUGCUGCUCAAAGUACUCGUAGAUGGUGAAACUAAUGUGAAAGCAAUUCCCAUUACCUAUCUAUAAUAGCUAAUGUGCAUUCCAAAUGUCUGUUUGUAAUGAAGGAAUAUCUGAGUAUUUCUGUACUUUUGUUGUUGCAGAUGUGGUAUCCAUUUUAGGACA